Molecule: ribosomal RNA, 406 nt
Filed under: uncultured Clostridia bacterium
Lineage: Bacteria; Bacillati; Bacillota; Clostridia
Description: bacterial SSU rRNA
Rfam family: Bacterial small subunit ribosomal RNA
Source: RNAcentral
UGGGGAAUAUUGCACAAUGGGCGCAAGCCUGAUGCAGCGACGCCGCGUGAAGGAUGAAGGUCUUCGGAUUGUAAACUUCUAUCAGCAGGGAAGAAUAAAUGACGGUACCUGACUAAGAAGCCCCGGCUAACUACGUGCCAGCAGCCGCGGUAAUACGUAGGGGGCGAGCGUUAUCCGGAUUUACUGGGUGUAAAGGGUGCGUAGGCGGCUUGGUAAGUCAGAAGUGAAAUUUAGGGGCUCAACCCCUAAGCUGCUUCUGAAACUGCCGAGCUAGAGUGUGGGAGAGGAAAGUGGAAUUCCGAGUGUAGCGGUGAAAUGCGUAGAGAUUCGGAGGAACACCAGUAGCGAAGGCGGCUUUCUGGACCAUAACUGACGCUGAGGCACGAAAGCGUGGGGAGCAAACAGG